RNA transcript from Homo sapiens (human), 4726 nucleotides. RefSeq lists it as uncharacterized. The record is from RefSeq and is a predicted model, not a curated record. The transcript has 2 exons. NCBI's taxonomy places the organism in Eukaryota, Metazoa, Chordata, Mammalia, Primates, Hominidae.
CGCGCCUGGCGCAUGCGCAUUCGCGUGCCCGGCUGGCGCUGCCGCAACGUCAGGGCUCUCAGGGCCCAUAGGAAAACGGUGGAGGCCGUGCUGGCUGCGGCCCGGGGAAGAAGGCUGCGUGAGACCAGCAGCGCAGGACCCUGACAGUCCUGACCUCAGUGCCUCCUUCAGCCCACUUCGUGUACGGGUCUGGGUGGAGGAGGAGGCGCUUCAGACCUUGAGGUGGGCACUCGGGACUGCUCUCUGAUUUGAUUCUAGAUUGGAGGGUGUGGGCAGGAAUCAGGUCCCAUGGGGCUGGGGAUCCAAUCUGGUGAGGAGUUGAGGGGUCGCUGGGGUAGGAAAACAUACCUGAGACCCCAGUGGAGGGUGUGAGCAGGACAUUCCCUCGCCCCAUGAGCUGACUGGCCCCCUUUCGACCUGGGCCUCCCAGGGCCCUGUCCUGGUCUCCAAGACCAGGGCCUUCGGCUUCUCAGCAUUGCUGUCCAGAAAAGGCGGGAACAAGGACAAAGUCAAGCCCGAUGUGAAGCAGAGGUGGCAACACCUAAAACUGGCAUCCCAUGGGGGCAGAAAAUGUGGAGAGAGUGUCUCAGAGGCCUUCUGGGGUGAAUCCAAGCCCAAAAGGGAUAUCCAGGCAUGCUGGCGAGGGCCACUGAGGAUACCCCCAAGAAAGCGAAGCACAAGCAAAGCACACCUGAAACCAUAGGAGGGCCUGUGCCGGAGUCCAAGCCUCCUCCAGGGAUUCCUGCCAGAGGAGCCAAGAGGAUCCUGCAAAGUGAUCCAGCACCCACACCGGGAUCACAACCCACCACCGGGUCUACACCCAGCUAACCCCCAGUCCCUUUUGCUCCGUGAAAUCCCUGGCAACGAAAAGGUGCAGUGCUGAGAGGCAGUCCCAGCCAGGAACAGAGCAAUGGGAGACCCCUCAACAAUGAGAAAACACCAGCAGAUGAGAUGAAACAUAGCCUUCAUUAGAAGGCAAAGGCCAGCUACGGCUGGCUACCUCUCAUUCUAUGUGAAUCAUGCAGCCAUCUGAUGCAAUGGGGAGACCAAGAGUUUCCUUAUUGGGGAAAGCUACGGGCACCCACGGUUCCAAGAGCAUCACAGCUACCCAGUCAUUAAGAAAUGUGAGUGUUGAGAAGGAAACACUCAUCACCUACGUCCCCGCCAAGGUGGUCCUGGACGAACUGGGAAACAUUUGCUGUGAAGGACGUUCUGGAGGACUGUGAGCCAGACCAAGGAAAACCUGGGCCGACGAGAAUCAGGGAAGGCAAGAAAAGAGGGAGAACAGAGUAGAGGCCGCAGCCCAGGCAGGAUCAAUCCAUCCCACUCCCAUGUGCCUCGGGGAACCAGGGUCCAACAGGGGACCUGGCCAGAAAGGCGACAGUCUUCGGUCCAAAGGUUCUCCGAACACUCGUGUCUUCUAUCGCCAGCACAGCGCCAUGGUGUGGACAGGUUGUACAGUGAAGAGGAAAAGGGGAUGGCGUUGGAAACAGUUUCUUUGACAUCUGUCUGCACCUGUUCUGCAGGUGAAGGUGCGAGACCUCCUCCACACCUCAGCGGAUUGUAUCUUCACCCCCAUCUGACCUUUUUUCUGCACACAUCCUUUAAUCCAGAAUGAAAUCUGAAGAGGAUGAAGGAGUGCCCGCCUCAGGUCCUGAAGCUGCGACUCCGCCAGCCACCGAAUUAGAAGUGGGCUCAAGGGGGUACUGAGGACAGGACAGCUAGGGUCCGUCCAGCCUUGGGUGUGCCGCAGGACCAUGGGCCCCUGGAGGAAUUUGUUCUUGGUUGUCGUGUGCUGGUCUUCUUUCUGGAAGAGUGGGCGGCUUGGGAGGGGAGGUGAUUUGGACGUUUGCGGGUCGCAGCCAGCCCCCCACUUCACCGAGGCUUUAGGAACCAAGAGCGAAACAAAGAACGCUUGCCCCGCAACCCAAGCCCGGCCAAAGAGACGGGCGCAUCAGAGCGUAGGCGAACUACAGAGAAACCGCGCUUCACUGCACGAGCCACAUUUCUUUCACCGCACACCACACACACACUCACACGCACACACAGAAAGACACACGGAAACAUCCAACAGUCGCACAGAAACACACACAGCCAGGCAGCUCCUGAGGCUGCGCGGUUCUGCUCUCUGCCAGGAAACCCCUCCGGAAAGAGAGCGCCCCGGGGAACACAGGCAGGCCGUACCUCGAAAUCCCAGCGGGGACACCUGUCAGGGAGACGCACCCUCACACCGCCCAUGCAUGCCCGACGCAUCUUUGGGAUCCUUAGGGAUCACGUGGUGCUUCCUUGAAUCUCCGCUUGAGGUUUCUUCAGGCAGGUUCGGCCUUGCCCGACUCCUAGGAUCGCAGGACCAUGGCGACGAUCCCGCGGAGAGGGGACGCACUGCCACAGACGCCUGGGGGCCAAGCCGCUGGGGCCAGUCCCCCGGCAACGGUGGCGGUUACUGUGACGCGAGUCCCCCCUCAGCGCUAGCGCCUGGUGAUCGCGCCUGGUACGUGCACUUUCGCGUUCCCGGUUUGUGGGCCGCAUUGUCAGGGCUCUCAGGCUGCAGCCCAAUAGGAAAACAGUGGAGGCCGUGCAGGCGGCGGUUCGGGGAAGGAGACUGCAUGCGACAAGCAGCGCAGGACCCUGACUGUCGUGACCUCAGUGCCUCCUUGAGCCGACCUCGUGUUUGGGUCCGGGUGUAGGAGGAGGUGCUUCAGACCGUGAGGUGGGCACUCGGGAUUGCUCUUCUGAUUUGAUUCUGGACUGGAAUCAAAUUGGAAUUGACCCGGAAUUGGGUCCCACGGGGCUGGGGAACCAAUCUGGUGAGGUGUGGAGGGGUCGCUGGUGCACAGAAACAUACCGGAUACCCUCGGGGUGGGUGUCAGCAGAACAUUCCUCGGCUCCAUGAGCUGACUGCCUCCCUUUGAUCUGGGCCUCCCAGGGCUCUUCCUGCGUCUCCAAGCUCAGGGGCUCCUGCUUCUCAGCACUGCUGUCUGGAAAAGGCGGGAACGAGGACUAAGGCAAGCCCAGUGUGGGGCAGAGAUGGCAACACCUGGAACUAGCUUUUCAUGGGGGCAGAUAAUGUGGAGAGUGUCCCAAUUACAUCUCCCUUUAUUCUAUCCCAUACUACUAAACCCCACCAGCUAUUUGCCUACAAACUGUGUAUCAGUCAGGACAUCAGGACACCAAGAUAAAGGACUAGAGUUUGGUAAUCAACUACUGGCUCCUCCAGCAGCUCAGAAUGUGGCCUGUAUGCAUCACUUCACUUAAUUCAUUCAAGAAAUGCUGACUGAGUUCCUGCUGUGUGUUGGACACUUUCUUAGAAGUGGGACACACUGCAGUGUGUGGGACAAAGGCUGGGCCGCUCAUUGCUUAUGUUCUAGUUGAAGAGAGAGUCAAUCAACAACAUUCUACUUUCAGACAUUGAUAAAUGCUGUCAUGAAAAGACAAGGAACAUGAAAAGUUACGAAAUUUUCAGAAGAGGAGAAGAAAAGAAGAGGAGGGCAACUGAUAACCGGGAUACCACAGUCUCAGGACAGCUGAAGAGCACAGUUUAAUGGAGGAACACACUCCAGAGAGCGCCAGAAGCAGAAGUUCAGAGGCAUCCCUAAGAGUGGGCCAUCCAUCAGCCCUCAGGGUACAAUGGAUAUUGCUGGAAUGUCUUACAGAGCUGAAGGGAGAGGGGCAGUGAGUCUGAGGGUUAAUCAGCAGUGGUUAAGAUGGGCCCAGCUCAGCCAUUUCCUUCACACCUCCCCACCCCAACAUGGAAUUCACUGCUUCCUCUUCUCUGAUCCCACAGUCAUCUGUCUAUGGGAGUGAUUUAAAUUUGAGUGCAGAAAUUAGGGAAAGCAGGUAGCUCUGAAGCAUUUUAUCUGGAAAGUUUGUCACAACAGAGAAUAGGAAGCAGGAACAGGAGAAUCAUAGAAGCUUUUAUUUGUAAGAAUACCUGCAUGGGAAAGAUUCUGGAGAAAGAGAGAUGGACCAAGCACAUAAGGGCAGAGGUGCAAUCAAGUAGAGCCGAGAAAAACACUCAGAUAUGGGCGGUGGGGUUGCAUGGAGGUUGAAGAGUCAUUAACGUGGCUGAAGCUCUCGGAGGACUUUCAAGGCUUUUAAGAGAAGAAUGCUGAACAAAAUUCCAAAGGUGCCAGCCUCCUUCAGUACCCCUUUUGCUAGAUUUAUCACACUUACCCCAACAGUGGCAGCCCGGGCAUGCUGCCUCACCAAUCCAUGGUGCUUCUUCCUGCUCCAGUCUGAGGAUCACAUCUGGUUUGGUGCCUUCAUAACCUGUUCCGGGGAAAUUGAUGCAGGUCUUGGGCUGAGCUCCUUGGUCUUCAGGGCCUCUCAGGCAGCUUUAAAGGCUGCACAAUAGAUGUUAUACUUGGGAGGGGACUAAACACACACCUUGUCCAGAACCAAAUGGGAUUAGUAAUCCAGGACCAUGGAAACUCAAGCCACACCCACUGAGGCAGCAGCACAAGGUAAGAAUGCAUUCUGUGCUGCCAGAAUGCUGAGGUUCAAAUCCUGACUCUGCUAUCUACUAGCUGGGUGACUCUGGGCAAGUUACUUCACCUCUCUGUACCUCAAUUUCCAAAUGUGUAAAAAAGUGGUACUAAUAGUAACUACCUCAUAAGGCUUUUAUGAGAAUGAAAUGAGUUAAUAUUUUUAAAGUGGCUAAAACAAUUUCUGGCACAUAGAAAGUGCUAGAUAAUUAUUAAAUAAAUAUUUCAGAAGUUCUAGAGUA